GAUAUACUCCCUCCGUCCGGAAAUACUUGUCAUCAAAAUGAAUAAAAGGGGAUGUAUCUAGAUGUAUUUUAGUUCUAGAUACACCCAUUUUUGUCCAUUUUGAUGACAAGUAUUUUCGGACGGAGGGAGUACAUA
Molecule: non-coding RNA, 135 nt
Organism: Triticum aestivum (bread wheat)
Lineage: Eukaryota; Viridiplantae; Streptophyta; Magnoliopsida; Poales; Poaceae
Source: Rfam